RNAcentral lists this transfer RNA (64 nucleotides) under Mactra antiquata. Its description in RNAcentral is "tRNA-Val". The record is from RNAcentral. Lineage: Eukaryota; Metazoa; Mollusca; Bivalvia; Venerida; Mactridae.
UGGAGGAUAGCAUAAAUUAGUGUGUUCUACUUACGCUAGAAAGGUGGUGUUUUACCUCCUCCUU